UCUGCAAAAUGCAGUUGGCUCUGGUGGUAGGUUUUGUGCUAUUAUGCCUUAUUAUACCAGAAAUUUCGAGCAGGCAGCGCAAGGAAAGGGGCGAUGUACUUGAAAUCGAA
Long non-coding RNA from Ostrinia nubilalis (European corn borer), 110 nucleotides. RefSeq lists it as uncharacterized. NCBI's taxonomy places the organism in Eukaryota, Metazoa, Arthropoda, Insecta, Lepidoptera, Crambidae. The transcript has 3 exons. The record is from RefSeq and is a predicted model, not a curated record.